CUGCUGUAUUCAUUGUUAUUAUACAGGAGUCCUGUUGAUGUGAUGGACUGAUUUUAUGCUAUCAGAAAACCAGUUGCUGAGGUUAUAAAAAAAGCAAGAUGAAAUCCCUAUCCUGAAGUGAACACCUUGACUUUGGUAGGCAUAUAAAUGGGCCUGUGAUUUUGCAGUGGCUUGUAGCUGAACAAUCCAGAGCCAGGCUACCCUUGGUCACACCUGAUGUGGACCUGACUUUCCCUUGAAGGGCCUCUUUUAAAGAAAUUCCAAUUCUUUUAAUAACUUUCCUCAUCAGCAUCCUCUUUCC
This 301-nucleotide long non-coding RNA is filed under the name Callithrix jacchus (white-tufted-ear marmoset). RNAcentral describes it as "lncRNA (ENSCJAG00000055526.2)". The record is from RNAcentral. Lineage: Eukaryota; Metazoa; Chordata; Mammalia; Primates; Cebidae.